Molecule: ribosomal RNA, 465 nt
Filed under: uncultured bacterium
Lineage: Bacteria
Description: partial 16S ribosomal RNA
Rfam family: Bacterial small subunit ribosomal RNA
Source: RNAcentral
GACGAACGCUGGCGGCGUGCUUAACACAUGCAAGUCGAACGGAAAGGCCCCUUUGGGGGUCCUCGAGCGGCGAACGGGUGCGUAACACGUGCGUAACCUGCCCUUGACUUCGGGAUAACUUCAGGAAACUGGGGCUAAUACCGGAAAGGAAUCCUUGCUGCAUGGUGGGGGUUGGAAAGCUUCGGCGGUUUUGGAUGGACUCGCGGCUUAUCAGCUUGUUGGUGGGGUAGUGGCUUACCAAGGCGUUGGCGGGUAGCCGGCCUGUGGGGGCGACCGGCCACAUUGGGACUGAGGUGCGGCCCAGACUCCUACGGGAGGCAGCAGUGGGGAAUAUUGCACAAUGGGCGGAAGCCUGGUGCAGCAACGCCGCGUGCGGGAUGACGGCCUUCGGGUUGUAAACCGCUUUCAGCAGGGGCGAAGCUUGUGGUGACGGUACCUGCAGAAGAAGCACCGGCUAACUACGUG